Molecule: ribosomal RNA, 379 nt
Filed under: uncultured Ilumatobacter sp.
Lineage: Bacteria; Bacillati; Actinomycetota; Acidimicrobiia; Acidimicrobiales; Ilumatobacteraceae
Description: bacterial SSU rRNA
Rfam family: Bacterial small subunit ribosomal RNA
Source: RNAcentral
UGAUUAGCUUGUUGGUGAGGUAAUAGCUCACCAAGGCGACGAUCAUUAGCUGGUCUGAGAGGAUGAUCAGCCACACUGGGACUGAGACACGGCCCAGACUCCUACGGGAGGCAGCAGUGGGGAAUCUUGUGCAAUGGACGAAAGUCUGACACAGCCACGCCGCGUGCGGGAAGAAGGCCUUCGGGUCGUAAACCGCUUUCAGCAGGAACGAAAAUGACGGUACCUGCAGAAGAAGGAGCGGCCAACUACGUGCCAGCAGCCGCGGUGAUACGUAGGCUCCAAGCGUUGUCCGGAUUUAUUGGGCGUAAAGAGCUCGUAGGCGGUUCAGCAAGUCGGGUGUGAAAACUCUGGGCUCAACCCAGAGCCUGCACCCGAAACU